Molecule: ribosomal RNA, 509 nt
Filed under: uncultured bacterium
Lineage: Bacteria
Description: partial 16S ribosomal RNA
Source: RNAcentral
UAAUUCCUGUGGCCCGCGAAAUUUCGCCCUUACAGUUUGAUCCUGGCUGACGGAUGAAACGCUUAGCGGCAGGCUUACCACAUGCAAGUCGAGGCGAAGAGAGUUCUUCCCCUCUUGUACCGCCGUAGGGUCGUAAGCGUAUGCCAUCUACUUUUAAUGUCUGUCCCCAAAAAUUUAUUUAACCCUCAUAUCUUUAUUGGGACUUUUUUUGUUAAUUAAGCUAGACCGGUAAAAUAAGCCUGGGUCUUUUACCUAAUUGAUUGUAAAGGCCCCCUUUUCCAAAUUAAAUAGGCCUUAAAAAGAAAUUUCCAACAUUUUUUAUGAAUUCUUUGCCAAUCCCUGGGGGCCCGGGAAAAUAUUUGUUUUGGGAAAGCCUAUUCCACGGGCUUUCUUUCGGGCCUAGUUUGACCGUUUUUAAGGGAAAAAACCCCCCCCUCGGGGGGUGUGGGGCCCCUAAAAAAAAAAGGGCUGCUAUCUCUCGCCCCCCCCCCCCCGGGUUUAUUAGAAAA